This 28-nucleotide non-coding RNA is filed under the name Homo sapiens (human). The record is from RNAcentral. Lineage: Eukaryota; Metazoa; Chordata; Mammalia; Primates; Hominidae.
UCCUCUGUGCCUGAUAAGGUGCCAUAAU